CUACCUAGUGUGGGGCUGUUUGGGAGAAUAAAGAAAAGACCACACUCGACGGUGGGCUAUAUCACAUAGUAUAGUUCACUACUAUUUUGUGGCUUACAAU
RNAcentral lists this small nucleolar RNA (100 nucleotides) under Echinops telfairi (small Madagascar hedgehog). Its description in RNAcentral is "Small nucleolar RNA SNORA4 (ENSETEG00000026892.1)". It matches the Rfam family "Small nucleolar RNA SNORA4". From Rfam's summary of the family: ACA4 is a member of the H/ACA class of snoRNA that guide the sites of modification of uridines to pseudouridines. Lineage: Eukaryota; Metazoa; Chordata; Mammalia; Afrosoricida; Tenrecidae. The record is from RNAcentral.